This 508-nucleotide ribosomal RNA is filed under the name uncultured bacterium. RNAcentral's name for it is "partial 16S ribosomal RNA". It matches the Rfam family "Bacterial small subunit ribosomal RNA", at positions 30 to 523 of the family's 1533-position model. The record is from RNAcentral.
AUUGAACGCUGGCGGCAUGCCUAACACAUGCAAGUCGAACGGCAGCACGACCUAGCUUGCUAGGUUGGUGGCGAGUGGCGCACGGGUGAGUAAUACGUAGGAAUAUACCUUAAAGAGGGGGAUAACCUGGGGAAACCCAGGCUAAUACCGCAUGAGCUCUACGGAGGAAAGCUGGGGACCCGCGAGGGCCUGGCGCUUUAAGAAUAGCUUACGUCCGAUUAGCUAGUUGGUGGGGUAAAGGCUUACCAAGGCGACGAUCGGCAGCUGGUCUGAGAGGAUGAUCAGCCACACUGGGACUGAGACACGGCCCAAACUCCUACGGGAGGCAGCAGUGGGGAAUAUUGGACAAUGGGGGCAACCCUGAUCCAGCGAUGCCGCGUGUGUGAAGAAGGCCUGCGGGUUGUAAAGCACUUUCGGUGGGGAGGAGGACUAGUAUGUUAAGAGCUAACGAGUUGGACGUUACCCACAUAAGAAGCACCGGCUAACUCCGUGCCAGCAGCCGCCGUAA